RNAcentral lists this unclassified non-coding RNA (234 nucleotides) under plant metagenome. RNAcentral describes it as "partial contains small subunit ribosomal RNA, internal transcribed spacer 1, and 5.8S ribosomal RNA". The record is from RNAcentral.
UUUCCGUAGGUGAACCUGCGGAAGGAUCAUUACAGUAGUCACCCAGGUUGCCGCAAGGCCUCCUGGGUAACCUACCACCCUUUGUUUAUUACACUUUGUUGCUUUGGCAAGCCUGCCCUCGGGCUGCUGGCUCCAGCCGGCGAGCGCUUGCCAGAGGACCUAAACUCUGUUUGUCUAUACUGUCUGAGUACUAUAUAAUAGUUAAAACUUUCAACAACGGAUCUCUUGGUUCUG